GUAACGUCUUGUCUCAAAACAAAACCAACAUCAAAAACAAACCAGCACAAAGCAAGAAUAAAUGGGCCGAGUGCUCAGCUUGUCAUCCCCCAGUUUCACUGCCCGGAGCUAACUAGUACCUGGUGGGUGAACAGUGUCUGGAAAACACAGGAGCAGUUGCUGCAGUGUGUUCCCAAUAUUCUCAUUACUGAUGACAUCUACUCAGCAGCAGCUGCGGUACAAGGAACAAAAUGUUCUUGCCUUGUGGGCUUGCAGCCUAAGUGGCAGAAAACAAAGCAAACAACGGGCAGCUUUUCUGAGCACGGACGUGGGUGUGCACGGACGUGGGUGAGCAUGGACGUGGGCGUGUUAUGGUGCUGUGCUAAGGCCUGGAGAAAUAGCAACUUCCUGGACUUUUACCAAGAACAGCUGGAAUUACUUCUCAUUUUAAAGAUAAGUGAGAGAGACAGACAUAAGGACUUUCCCAGUGUCAGCACUGUGUGGACAGCUCUGCCUGGAGCACCCGCCUUUUCUUGUGCUCUGUCAGGUGUGGCUGGGUAGAGGUGUUUGCCUUGUUAUUUCCAUACUAGGAGGAGAAUGGGUGAAAAGACUGCAAGCAAGACCGGUCCGUAAUGGUUCCUUUGUCCUAGUCUGGAGGCUGGAAGGAGUCGGCCAGCAUCGUCCCCACUACAUGAGACAGAGCCUCGAUUAGGAUUCCUAGAAAAUCUGUCUUCGACAAGCACCCAGCACCUACAACCACAGGCCACGCCCACCCACCAGAGACCGGCCCUCAGCCUGGAAGCCCUGCUGACCCUGAAGCCCCGCCCAGUCACCCACCCCC
This is a long non-coding RNA of Alexandromys fortis (reed vole), 820 nucleotides long. RefSeq lists it as uncharacterized. Lineage: Eukaryota; Metazoa; Chordata; Mammalia; Rodentia; Cricetidae. The record is from RefSeq and is a predicted model, not a curated record. The transcript is spliced from 3 exons.